RNAcentral lists this ribosomal RNA (338 nucleotides) under uncultured Pseudomonadota bacterium. Its description in RNAcentral is "bacterial SSU rRNA". It matches the Rfam family "Bacterial small subunit ribosomal RNA", at positions 29 to 351 of the family's 1533-position model. Lineage: Bacteria; Pseudomonadati; Pseudomonadota. The record is from RNAcentral.
AACGAACGCUGGCGGCGUGCCUAACACAUGCAAGUCGAACGGAAUCAGAGAGCUUGCUCUUUGGUUUAGUGGCGCACGGGUGAGUAACGCGUAGAUAAUCUGCCCUGGCAUCUGGGAUAACACUUCGAAAGGGGUGCUAAUACCGGAUAAGCCCACGACGGCUUUGGUCGUUGCGGGAAAAGGAGGGGACCUUCGGGCCUUCUGUGUCAGGAUGAGUCUGCGUACCAUUAGCUAGUUGGUGGGGUAAAGGCCUACCAAGGCGACGAUGGUUAGCUGGUCUGAGAGGAUGAUCAGCCACACUGGAACUGAGACACGGUCCAGACUCCUACGGGAGGCUG